RNAcentral lists this long non-coding RNA (255 nucleotides) under Lathyrus oleraceus (garden pea). RNAcentral describes it as "Pisum sativum (pea) long non-coding RNA (PSAT_LNC015285)". The record is from RNAcentral. Lineage: Eukaryota; Viridiplantae; Streptophyta; Magnoliopsida; Fabales; Fabaceae.
AAUUAGGGCCAUUGGCCAAUGGGAAGCAUAGGAAAAUAUUUGGGGAAUUCAGCAUACCAAACUAUGUCACAUAUAUACAUGUCCAACUUCAAUAAUUCACACAUAACUAACCAUAGGCUAAAAAAUUCCCAAACCUAUGUCAAAAAAUCCAGAAGGAUGUCAUGAAUCAAUGUUUCAAAUUUCAAUUAAUUUGGAUUAAGCAUGUGGAUUAUAGAAUUAAAAUGGCAAAGUAUAUGGAAAUAAUACACAUUAAUA